Mustela putorius furo (domestic ferret) is the source of this 108-nucleotide small nuclear RNA. The record is from Ensembl. NCBI's taxonomy places the organism in Eukaryota, Metazoa, Chordata, Mammalia, Carnivora, Mustelidae.
GCGCUCACUUUGGCAGCAUAUAUACUAAACUUGGCACUAUACAGAGGAGGUUUGCAUGGCCCUGCAUCAGGAUAGCCCACAAAACAUCUAGAAAGCAUGGUGGCCUCU